UGCUUAGGAGAGGUCUUUUGGUCUUUGCUCUAUGACCCAAGGCAGAGUAGGUGGGGUGGCCACCUUAAACCUGAAAUGGUUCUGCCCCUGCUGACUUGGCUUGGAGCCCCACCCCCAUGACUGGACUUUUGAUCAAGCACUCUGUUGAUUUGGCUUGGAAGAGACUCUAUGGAAGGAGCUCCUGCUACUCUAAUUCAGGGUAAGGAUUGCAACUUGGAGACUUUUCAUUUGGAUCACUCACAGAAGCAGUAAAUGUGCUGAAUACAAACAACAGAACUGAAUCUUGGGGAGUCAACUGGUUCCUGUAAUUACAAGUGCAGAAGUCUCCCGGCCCUGGGGCGGAGCCUGUGACUCAGCACUCUCCUCCAGAUCGGUUUCUUGAAGCCACUUCACUCUGCUAACCACUGCCUUGACCCCACCCUCUGCUGGCCCUGAUCACUGGCAUUGUGUGGCUGCCAGGAACCUUCGAGCCUAAGGCUUCCUCCCAAGGAGGAGCCACGCAUGCUGAGAGAGAAGAAAAGAGGAGAAGGAGGAAGAGGAAGAGGAGGAAGAAGAGGAGGAGGGACCAAAAAUAUCUGGAUUAUAUAGGCAGGAGCCUCAGGGUGAAAAGCAGGCCAGGCCCUGGGCUGGAAAGUUCAGGGUUAGGGGCCGGGCUUGCCUGGUUGGGACUAAGGGAUUCUGGGAGAACUUGGAGGCCAGGUCUGCUUUGAUAUGUAAAAUAUGCACCUUGUCCUAGAGUCCGAAACCAAACCACCCCACCACCUCCACUUUUUUUUUUUUUAAGUUUCUUGUUUUGUUUUUGAGACACGUUUUAGCAGCCCUGGAGGUCCUGGAACUUCCUUUGUGGGCCAGGCUGGCCUAGAACUCAAAGAUUCUCCUGUCCCUAACUGCUGAGUGCUCAGAUUAAAAGCACCACCACAGCCCAACCACUAAUAACUUACUUCUCUCUCUCUCUCUAUCUGUCUGUCUAUCUAUCUAUCUAUCUAUCUAUCUAUCUAUCUAUCUAUCUAUCUAUCUGAAUACACCAGACACACCAGACACACCAGAAGAGGGCACGGGAACACAUUACAGAUGGUUGUGAGCCUCCAUGUGGUUGCUGGGAAUUGAACUCAGGACU
This is a long non-coding RNA of Apodemus sylvaticus (European woodmouse), 1117 nucleotides long. RefSeq lists it as uncharacterized. Lineage: Eukaryota; Metazoa; Chordata; Mammalia; Rodentia; Muridae. The transcript is spliced from 3 exons. The record is from RefSeq and is a predicted model, not a curated record.